Planococcus citri (citrus mealybug) is the source of this 739-nucleotide long non-coding RNA. RefSeq lists it as uncharacterized. The transcript is spliced from 4 exons. The record is from RefSeq and is a predicted model, not a curated record. NCBI's taxonomy places the organism in Eukaryota, Metazoa, Arthropoda, Insecta, Hemiptera, Pseudococcidae.
CUGUGCUGUUAAUUUGGGCUAUAUAUAGAAUAGUCAAUUCUAUUUCAUUGAUUGUUGCGUUGACAAACGAUUCUCCUCUUUCUGGACGAAGGCUACAUGCAUCAGUUGAAACUGUUAAGUCGUUUUGGAAAAUACGGUGAAAUUGAGUUAAUCAAAAAUUCAAAGAACAAAACUAUAGGUGCCUUAUCUAUGAAGUUGUAGUGAUAUUACAGAUUACAUUUCAACCAGUCUAUAAACUAACGCCCUAACCUGGUUUUCUCGAAACAGCAGCAGGAUCAUUUGAAAUGUGUCGGCAACGCCUGGAAGAUCGGAAGGAAAUCCCACCUCCAUCGCAACAAAACCGAGAGACCGAUAUUGCGAUCGAAGUCAUAGAUGCAGUCAUGAAGAUGUUGAAAGUCCUUGGUCAUCGUUCAUUUGUGCAGCUGUGCGAAAAACUAGAUACGAUGACGGAAGCAGAGGUAACAGCUUUCAAAAGAAAAUACCUUUCAGAUGAAAACCUCGAAUAAGAAGUAGUACGAAUAUAAAUCAGAUGUAGAAGUAACACAUAAUAUCGUUGAUCACAGUUCCGAUUUUCGUAUUACGAUAUUUCAUGAGUAUUUUUUUAACCAUAUAAUUUUCUUCAUUUAUACUACAAGAUAUCGUAUUUUUGGGCAUGUUUUAUUCACUUUUUGUAAAAAUCUUAGUAUCUUCCUCAGUAUUUGUUAGAUAAUUGAAAAAUACAAACUAUUUAUGUAGAAUA